Molecule: non-coding RNA, 1649 nt
Organism: Pantherophis guttatus
Lineage: Eukaryota; Metazoa; Chordata; Lepidosauria; Squamata; Colubridae
Source: RefSeq, a predicted model, not a curated record
CCAUCCCGGAAAAAGGAAACAGGCUCGUCGCUUCCGGGUUUGAAGCUCUCCGCGAGACCUUUAAAAAAAAAAAAAGGAACGACGGAGGGGACGGUGCGAAACCGCGGCGGCGGAAGUUUCGGCUUCGACGUUUCGAUCUCUAUAUAUGUCUUCAUCCUGGCAAAUAGAUGGGGAAGAAAUGGAGGUAGUGACAGAUUUUAUUUUCCUGGGCUCCAAGAUCACUGCAGAUGGGGACUACAGCCAAGAAAUUAAAAGACGCUUGCUCCUGGGGAGGAAAGCUAUGGCAAAUCUAGACAGCAUACUAAAAAGCAGAGACAUCACCCUACCAACAAAAGUGCAUAUAUGGUUUUUCCAGUUGCAAUGUAUGGUUGUGAAAGUUGGACCAUAAGAAAGGCUGAGCGCCAAAGAAUUGAGGCCUUUGAACUAUGGUGCUGGAGAAGGCUCCUGCGAGUCCCUUGGACUGCAAGGCGAUCAAACUGGUCAGUCCUAGAGGAGAUCAACCCUGACUGCUCUUUAGAAGGCCACAUCCUGAAGAUGAAACUGAAAUACUUCGGCCACCUAAUGAGGGGGAAGGACUCAUUGGAGAAGAACCUAACGCUGGGAAAGAUUGAGGGCAAAAGUAGAAGGGGACGACAGAGAAUGAGGUGGCUGGAUAGAGUCACUGAAGCAAUAGGCAUGAGCUUAAAUGGAUUCCAGAGGAUGGUAGAGGACAGGAAGGCCUGGAGGAACGUUGUCCAUGGGGUCGCGAUGGGUUGGACAUGACUUUGCAACUAACAACAACAACAUGUCUUCAUCCUUUUUUGUAGUAUUCCUGCAUCUAAUGUCUUUCUCUGACAGCCUCACUCUGUCACAUCUCAAAAUACAUAUAAUGGUCUGUAGGGCUGUCUAAAAAUCAGUUAAAAAGAAGCUGAUAUAUAUAGUCUAUAUCUAAAGCAAGUAUGUUCAUAUAUAUUAUAUUCACAACAAUCUGCAAUUAAAGGCAACCUAGCUUGAAUCAUUGAUAAUGAUUAGAAACUCACAUGUAAGUCACAAUGUGGUUUUCACUUCGCGUUGUUAUAAACUAGACAAUUCUGGUUUAAGAAAUAAAUCAGCUAAAUUGUUAAAUGAUCAUUCCAAUAUUAAUGGUUUGUCAAUAACACAGAUCUAAAACACCAGAAAUACUAGGAAUCAGGGUUAAAGAGAAUAGAAUAUAGAAUAGAAUAGAGCUGGAAGGGACCUUAGAAGUCUUCUAGUCCAGCCCCCUGCUCAAGGAGGAGAAACAGAUUUUACAGUUUGUGGAAAGAAUUUUAUAUGUCAAAUUUAUCUGUUAUUUAUCAAUCUCUAUGCAGUUAAAAGUACAUUUACUCAUCUUAAAUUGGAACUGGUAACUUAUUGUUCAUAAGAUACAGGGAUAUCUGCAGUUAGGACAUUUGUAUUCAUAAAAUGCGCAUGAAAAAUUAUUGAGAAUGUCUCAGUGCACAAGUGCCCACUUGUGACAUUUAACACAGCGAGCCUAUUAUUUUCAUAACACGUGAGAAAAGCCGUUUCAUAAUACAGAAAAUAAAAAGGGGAAAGGAAAUUAUAGAUCUGUCAAACCAUUCAUUUAAAAUGUUUGUAGAUUGCAUGCGUACAACAGUGUUACACAAUAGUAAUAAAUACAUACCCUGAAA